CUUUCUCCGCCGACGACCGGCGCACGGGUGAGUAACACGUAUGCAACCUGCCCCUGUCAGGGGGACAACCCGCCGAAAGGCGGGCUAAACCCGCGUACAUGCCACCGGGGCAUCCCGGAGGCAGGAAAGGCUUCGGCCGGACAGGGAUGGGCAUGCGGCGCAUUAGGCAGUAGGCGGGGUAACGGCCCACCUAACCGACGAUGCGUAGGGGUUCUGAGAGGAAGGUCCCCCACACUGGUACUGAGACACGGACCAGACUCCUACGGGAGGCAGCAG
Molecule: ribosomal RNA, 276 nt
Filed under: uncultured bacterium
Lineage: Bacteria
Description: partial 16S ribosomal RNA
Rfam family: Bacterial small subunit ribosomal RNA
Source: RNAcentral